RNAcentral lists this unclassified non-coding RNA (329 nucleotides) under soil metagenome. RNAcentral describes it as "partial contains 5.8S ribosomal RNA, internal transcribed spacer 2, and large subunit ribosomal RNA". The stretch from base 1 to 120 matches the Rfam family "5.8S ribosomal RNA", at positions 35 to 154 of the family's 154-position model. The record is from RNAcentral.
GAUGAAGAACGCAGCGAAAUGCGAUAAGUAAUGUGAAUUGCAGAAUUCAGUGAAUCAUCGAAUCUUUGAACGCACAUUGCGCCCCUUGGUAAUCCGAGGGGCAUGCCUGUUCGAGCGUCAUUAUAACCCCUCAAGCUCAGCUUGGUGUUGGGGCCUGCUGCACUGGCAGCCCUUAAAAUCAGUGGCGGCGCCAUCUGGCUCUAAGCGUAGUAAUUCUUCUCGCUAUGGAGUCCUGGUGGAUGCUUGCCAUCAACCCCCAAUUUUUCUAUGGUUGACCUCGGAUCAGGUAGGGAUACCCGCUGAACUUAAGCAUAUCAAUAAGCGGAGGA